Molecule: ribosomal RNA, 497 nt
Filed under: uncultured bacterium
Lineage: Bacteria
Description: partial 16S ribosomal RNA
Rfam family: Bacterial small subunit ribosomal RNA
Source: RNAcentral
GAUGAACGCUGGCGGCGUGCCUAAUACAUGCAAGUCGAGCGAACAGACGAGGAGCUUGCACCUCUGACGUUAGCGGCGGACGGGUGAGUAACACGUGGAUAACCUACCUAUAAGACUGGGAUAACUUCGGGAAACCGGAGCUAAUACCGGAUAAUAUAUUGAACCGCAUGGUUCAAUAGUGAAAGACGGUUUUGCUGUCACUUAUAGAUGGAUCCGCGCCGCAUUAGCUAGUUGGUAAGGUAACGGCUUACCAAGGCGACGAUGCGUAGCCGACCUGAGAGGGUGAUCGGCCACACUGGAACUGAGACACGGUCCAGACUCCUACGGGAGGCAGCAGUAGGGAAUCUUCCGCAAUGGGCGAAAGCCUGACGGAGCAACGCCGCGUGAGUGAUGAAGGUCUUCGGAUCGUAUAACUCUGUUAUUAGGGAAGAACAAAUGUGUAAGUAACUAUGCACGUCUUGACGGUACCUAAUCAGAAAGCCACGGCUAACUACGUG